This 1358-nucleotide ribosomal RNA is filed under the name Basidiobolus sp. RNAcentral's name for it is "LSU rRNA". It matches the Rfam family "Eukaryotic large subunit ribosomal RNA", at positions 73 to 1258 of the family's 3401-position model. Lineage: Eukaryota; Fungi; Basidiobolomycota; Basidiobolomycetes; Basidiobolales; Basidiobolaceae. The record is from RNAcentral.
GAUUCCCCUAGUAACGGCGAGUGAAGCGGGAAGAGCUCAAAUUUAAAAUCUGCAAGGUUCAACCUUGCCGAAUUGUAGUUUGAAGAAGUGUUUUCCGCGGCGGCUGCAGUACAAAUCCUUUGGAACAGGGUAUCAGAGAGGGUGAGAAUCCCGUCUUUGACUGCAGACUAGUUGCACUGUGAUACACUUUCUAAGAGUCGAGUUGUUUGGGAAUGCAGCUCAAAAUGGGUGGUAAAUUUCAUCUAAAGCUAAAUAUUGGCAAGAGACCGAUAGCGAACAAGUACCGUGAGGGAAAGAUGAAAAGAACUUUGAAAAGAGAGUUAAAUAGUACGUGAAAUUGUUAAAAGGGAAACGCUUGAAGUCAGUGUUGCCGGCUGAAAAUCAGCUUCGUGCGGAUGGCUUGCUGCGGUGGAGGGAGUGUCAAAACCCCUUGCCGUAGUACAGCUAGCCGGACGGAGUGCACUUUUCAGUCGACAGGUCAACAUCAAUUUCAGCCGGUGGAAAAAAGCCAGUGGAAUGUAGGUUGGAGCAAUCCGACUGUUAUAGCCACAGGUGUAUACACCGGCGGGGAUUGAGGACAGCAGUGCAGGCCACUAUGGCGGAAGCGCCGCACUUUUCUCCGGGGGGCACGUCAAGACAGCAUGCUGACUUGGUGUGUACACUCUUGGGAACGGGGCGGAUGUACUUCUCCUGCACUAAGGAUGUUGACGAAAUGGCUUUAAACGACCCGUCUUGAAACACGGACCAAGGAGUCUAACAAAUAUGCGAGUAUUUGGGUGGCAAACCCAUAUGCGCAAUGAAAGUGAAUGUAGGUGGGAUCCCCUUCGCGGGGGAGCACCAUCGACCGAUCUGGAUUUUUUAAAGAUAGAUUUGAGUAAGAGCAUAUCUGUUGGGACCCGAAAGAUGGUGAACUAUGCCUGAAUAGGGUGAAGCCAGAGGAAACUCUGGUGGAGGCUCGUAGCGAUUCUGACGUGCAAAUCGAUCGUCAAAUUUGGGUAUAGGGGCGAAAGACUAAUCGAACCAUCUAGUAGCUGGUUCCUGCCGAAGUUUCCCUCAGGAUAGCAGAAACUCCUUUGAACAGUUUUAUUGAGGUAAACCGAAUGAUUUAAGGACUUAGGGAUGAAACAUCCCUUAACCUAUUCUCCAACUUUUAAAUAUGUAAAACAGUCCCUGUUGGUUUAAUUUGAACGGGGACAACUCCAAAGAGAGAUUUCUUAUGGGGGCAUUUUUUGGUAGACAAACAUGGGGGAUGCGGGAUGAACACCACCCUGAGGUUAUAGGUGCCGGGAAAAAACCCUCCUUUUUAUCCCCCCCAAAAGGGUGGUGUUCUUCUUAACAACCAGAACAGUGGGCAUCGG